UACGUAGGUGGCAAGCGUUGUCCGGAUUUACUGGGCGUAAAGAGCGCGCAGGCGGUCGUUCAAGUCGCGUGUGAAAGCCCCCGGCUCAACUGGGGAGGGUCACGCGAUACUGAUCGACUCGAAGGCAGGAGAGGGUAGUGGAAUUCCCGGUGUAGUGGUGAAAUGCGUAGAUAUCGGGAGGAACACCUGUGGCGAAGGCGGCCCCCUGGUUGGAUACUGACGCUGAUACGCGAAAGCGUGGAGAGCAAACAGG
RNAcentral lists this ribosomal RNA (253 nucleotides) under uncultured bacterium. RNAcentral's name for it is "partial 16S ribosomal RNA". It matches the Rfam family "Bacterial small subunit ribosomal RNA", at positions 524 to 776 of the family's 1533-position model. The record is from RNAcentral.